CCUACGGGAGGCUGCAGUGAGGAAUAUUGGUCAAUGGGCGUAAGCCUGAACCAGCCAAGUAGCGUGAGGGAUGACUGCCCUACGGGUUGUAAACUUCUUUUAUAAGGGAAUAAAGUGCGGCACGUGUGCCUUUUUGUAUGUACUUUAUGAAUAAGGAUCGGCUAACUCCGUGCCAGCAGCCGCGGUAAUACGGGGGAUCCGAGCGUUAUCCGGAUUUCUUGGGUUUAAAGGGAGCGUAGAUGGGUUGUUAAGUCAGGUGUGAAAGUUUGCGGCUCAACCGUAAAAUUGCAAUUGAUACUGGCAGCCUUGAGUAAAGUUGAGGUAGGCGGAAUUCGUGGUGUAGCCGUGAAAUGCUUAGAUAUCAAGACGAACUCCGAUUGCGAAGGCAGCCUACUAAAGUGAUACUGA
This 408-nucleotide ribosomal RNA is filed under the name uncultured bacterium. RNAcentral's name for it is "partial 16S ribosomal RNA". It matches the Rfam family "Bacterial small subunit ribosomal RNA", at positions 338 to 743 of the family's 1533-position model. The record is from RNAcentral.